Molecule: long non-coding RNA, 389 nt
Organism: Protobothrops mucrosquamatus (brown spotted pit viper)
Lineage: Eukaryota; Metazoa; Chordata; Lepidosauria; Squamata; Viperidae
Exons: 3
Source: RefSeq, a predicted model, not a curated record
AUCUCAGUCAGUGUGAAAUCUGAUAAUCGACGACGUGGGAUGGAAGUUAACCUUCUCAAGUACCCCCAUGGAAGUAAACAGGGGGUAAAGCUGACCUGCAAUUCUUGUGAUGACCAGCUGGAAGCCCAAACUCAGGACAGCUCUACCAUCGUUUGGACUUUAAACGGGAAGAAAGCUUCUAAUCACAUAUCCGUGGGCCUAAGAAUUACAAUCACAGUCCAAGACAGUCCCCAGAAUUAUGGUCUCUGGCAGUGCAGCGAUCCCAGAUGUCCUACCCAGUUUGACGGGUAUUGCUUGGAAGAUGAAUUUAGAAUUUCAGAGACAUUGGAGUCUGAAGAAACGCCCUGGUCUACCCCAGCACCAUUGGAUACAAAGAAGAAGUUUAAGAU